UGCCACGGUGAAAGCGAAUGGAUUGGCUGC
Molecule: non-coding RNA, 30 nt
Filed under: Homo sapiens (human)
Lineage: Eukaryota; Metazoa; Chordata; Mammalia; Primates; Hominidae
Source: RNAcentral